This 2730-nucleotide long non-coding RNA is filed under the name Monomorium pharaonis (pharaoh ant). RNAcentral describes it as "uncharacterized LOC118644704". Lineage: Eukaryota; Metazoa; Arthropoda; Insecta; Hymenoptera; Formicidae. The record is from RNAcentral.
UACGAUAUUUUAAGAUAUUUUUGUAGGAUAUCCCGGGAGCUACUCAUUGAGAUAUCCGUGGGAUCGCCUUCGUUUGUCUGGGAUAAUUUAGGAUAUCCUCAGGAUAAAGUGUGCUGCACACAGGUUAUUUCUAUACUUACUGAAGUUUGAAUUGUAAGCCUAAUAUGUAAUCAAUUGGAGCUUAUGGUAUCGUGGCUAUCGAAUUAAAGUAAUUCUAAAUAAAGUGAAGCUGUCGGCACAUUUCUUUCGAUCAUUUUCAUAUGCUAGUGGAAGGAGUAGAUAAUCUAAAAGUAUUAACACAAAGGAAACAAUGGAGAAAUUAUUUUACCAUUGCAAGGAGUGUUGCAGAUGAUGUAACAUUCUAACAGCUACUUGGACAUAUCACAAAUGAGGCAAUUAUCUGAUCAAGUAAGGACGCAAAAUGUAUUUUUAAUUCGUAUCCUACAAACAUUUUAUCCCAGAUUAAUUUCCAUAAAAAUUUUGAAAGUAAUUUAUUUACACUACUUUUUUCCAAAAUAAAGAUAGUGAUUGUGGCACAGUGAGUUGUGUAUCCGCUCUCUGAUUACGCGGUUUUGAUACCAAGUCUCCUGCCCAGAGAGCAGACACACAACUCACUACGCCACAGUCGUUUGUAUGGAUAAAGUGCUUUUUUUACAUUAUAUUGUAAGAGCUAAUAAUUAAUAGAAUUGAUCCUUUUAUUAAGUAUUUUAUUUUUGUUUGGACAAAAGGUCGUCAGAUUCUGGAUGAGUUAGCCUAGCAGAUUACAGCGGAUUUUAAACAGGCCUUUUCAAAAUCCAAAGCAUUUCAAUCAGUUAACGGAAGGAUGUUUCAUAUUAUCAGAAUUGCAUCCUAAAGUGAAGUAUGUACCUCAUAGAAAUAUUUGAAGAUUUAGUAUAAGCAAUAACAAAUGUACGAUAAUGUUUGAAGCAUCUUUUUUUUUAUAGAAAAGGUCUGCUCGUUUGGUUUGUAAAUAACCAAUUGCAAGAAUACGCACAUUUGUUUGACGAGAAUCAGAAUUUUGCCUGGUUGGAUAAGAUAGAUCGAAGGGCGUGGAUUAAGAAACAUCUGCUCGAUUUUGAGACAAAGUUUGGUGCAAUCUUUCCUUAAGAUUGGGAGAUUUCUACGCGAAUAGCUGUACAAUUCUGCCAUAUCACGUGUGAAGAUCUUAUUAACAAUAAGUUAACGAACAAGAGACGUAAUGAGAUAGACAUUAAAUUAUUGCUGUACUUUUAUUUAAACUGCGUUUUGUAUUUAUAUAAAAAUUUAUUACAUAUAUUAUAUUAUUUUAUUAUAAAUAUUAUGUGAUUGAUAUUAUGUAAAUGAUAAAUAUUAUGUAAAAAUAAAUAUUAUUAAUUAUUAUAUUUAAUGUGCCAGCCCAGCUAGCACAGAGAGUUCGAAAAGAACUCAAUUGUAUGUCACCAAUUAUGAAUUUUUUAUGAAAUGCAAAAAGAAUUAUUUUUAUAAAAAUAAUUCUUUUUGCAUCUCAAAAAGAAUUCAUAAUUGAUGACAUACAAUUGAGUUCUUUUUGAACUCUCUGUGCUAUCUGGGAUGUUUAUUAAAAUCUAACCCUAACCUUGAAACCGACUCCCAGGGGCGACCAGGCAACCUUUUCACCCACGGCAGGUCAAGAGGGACCGAAGGAGCUGAAGAAAUUCAAGACAACGAGGACCGAGGCCAGUGAAGCGAACGGAAAUAACUUCCUAACCAUAAGGUUGGAAAGGUCAAGGGAGGCGGCGCAGGCCGAUGCGAAUCAAAAAAUUAAACAGAGCAAGCCACCGCGUGAUCGCGCAUUGCGUCAAUAAGCGAAACAAAUGUUUUUUUUUGUUAUUCUAAUAUUUCGCUAUUUUUAUCUUAUUAAUGUAUGUACUCAAUAUAAUGUGCUCGACGAGUUAGUUUUUUUAGUUAUUUAUAGGUUAUAACUAACCACCCCAUGACAAAAACAUAUAGUUACCUCAUUAAAUAAUAUUAAGUUUUGUAAUCCUAGUUUUUUUAAAAAAGCUCCUUGCACAGCGUGCGUAAGUCAAAAUUGGCUUAAGUAAAAAAUAUAUCAAACACGCGAGCGAGAGUAUAACCAGCCAUGACCUGGUUAAACUUUAUCAAACUUAUGUUAUGCGUAGCAUGUUUUCUCUUAUCCUUUUAUUAUUUAAUUUUAAUAUUAGUCAGUCUAGCAAAAUAUGAAGGAGUUAGAAACGCAACUAGUGUGUUACUUUUUAAGUUUGUAUAACUUCAUUAUUUUAAGAUUAAACAUUACUUUUAUAAUCUCGUAUGCUUUUUGUUUAUAUUUCAUUGUUUUGUGGCUAUAAUAAUAAUUCUAGCAAGCAAAUUAGUUGCAUUAGUGGAUUGCACUUUAGGUGCAAUCUGCAAUAAAAUCUGCACUUUUAAGUGCAAUCACUUACCCCUAUAACCAUUUCUGCUGUGACAAAUAUUGGCAACAGAUUCUGUUGCCAAAAAGGCGACAAAUGAGAAACAUAUCUUGUCAUUGCAAACACUAUUAGCAGAUAUUCAGCAAAUAUUUAGCAACGUCUGUUAUCAGAAUACAUGACAAAAUAAUAAUGAACUGCGAGCAGAUUUAUUGAAAAUAUUGAUAACAGAUUGACGACAAACACCAAAGUGCAAACAAUGUUAGCAAAUUGCUUGUAGUAAUGCAACAACAUUUGUGUGUCAAAGUACGCAACAGAUUGAUACCAGAAAUGCAGCAGAUCUGUCGAAAUGUCAAAUUGACAAUAAAAA